Acidovorax delafieldii 2AN is the source of this 184-nucleotide non-coding RNA. Lineage: Bacteria; Pseudomonadati; Pseudomonadota; Betaproteobacteria; Burkholderiales; Comamonadaceae. The record is from Rfam.
GCGCCCGUCUCUGGGGAGUAGCCCGCCCGGCCGCACACGGCGCCGGGGGCUUGCGUCAACACACUUGGGUUCCCACAACCUAUGGCGCACGCGGCUUGUGAUGAGCUGGGCGAGACCAUUGACUGCAUGCCGAUCCAUUGGCCGGAGUCGGCGUGCGGUCAAUGCGUUCACCACCCAUCCGGCC